This 460-nucleotide ribosomal RNA is filed under the name Salmonella enterica subsp. enterica serovar Anatum. Its description in RNAcentral is "bacterial SSU rRNA". It matches the Rfam family "Bacterial small subunit ribosomal RNA", at positions 338 to 795 of the family's 1533-position model. The record is from RNAcentral. Lineage: Bacteria; Pseudomonadati; Pseudomonadota; Gammaproteobacteria; Enterobacterales; Enterobacteriaceae.
CCUACGGGAGGCAGCAGUGAGGAAUAUUGGUCAAUGGGCGCAAGCCUGAACCAGCCAAGUAGCGUGCAGGAUGACGGCCCUAUGGGUUGUAAACUGCUUUUAUGCGGGGAUAAAGUGUGCCAUGUAUGGCAUUUUGUAGGUACCGCAUGAAUAAGGACCGGCUAAUUCCGUGCCAGCAGCCGCGGUAAUACGGAAGGUCCGGGCGUUAUCCGGAUUUAUUGGGUUUAAAGGGAGCGUAGGCCGUCGUUUAAGCGUGUUGUGAAAUGCCGCGGCUCAACCGUGGCACUGCAGCGCGAACUGGAUGACUUGAGUUCGCGGGAGGUAGGCGGAAUGCGUUGUGUAGCGGUGAAAUGCAUAGAUAUGACGCAGAACUCCGAUUGCGAAGGCAGCUUUCCAGCGCGCUACUGACGCUGAGGCACGAAAGCGUGGGGAUCGAACAGGAUUAGAUACCCCAGUAGUC